Molecule: long non-coding RNA, 2442 nt
Organism: Amphiprion ocellaris (clown anemonefish)
Lineage: Eukaryota; Metazoa; Chordata; Actinopteri; Pomacentridae
Exons: 2
Source: RefSeq, a predicted model, not a curated record
AUAAAAAUAAGUAAGAGAAAGAAACGAAAAAAGGCCCGUUUUUUCAUUUUCUGAGACCGGAAGUGGUCAUCAGCAAGUGUGGAGCCAAACGACAACAAGAUUCUCAGAGGGCGGAGCCACAGAGCAGUGACUGGUCAGACCAUAGACAGAUACAGACGACAGCGCGCUAGCGUAUCUAGUCUGCUAUAUAUAUCUAUGGUCGGCAGUGUGGUAGCGUCUCUGGCUGCUGUUGACCUUAUUUUUGGAGUAAAACACGGUAAGAAGAUAAAUACUUCUAACCAGGAGCGUUGUUUUGUUGUACGUUAAGUCAGCGACUUGUGAAGAGUUGUGUUUUGUCGUGUUUGAGCAGUUGGUCCGGACGCGUUAGCUAGCUAAGCGGCUAAGUUAGCUAGCGGGCUAAUUAACGCAGGUGGCUAACUUACCGCUGAACACCCGUGUUAGUUGCUGCAACAGCUGUACGUCAUUAUUAGAAUGAACUUCUCAACCUGUAUUUCUCUGCUGUGUAUUUUAGCUUUUAAGAAAGUUAUUUUACUUUAAUACUAGUUGUAUUAAUAACCUCAUAACAUUCCAAUUUUUCUUCCAGUCUUGGUUGGAAAUAGAAUCUCUGUAUUGAUUCAGGUAAAAACUGAACUUCACAGCAUGUUGAAGCAAAACAACCAGAUGAAAACUGUGAUGGUGUUGGAUUGUCAGACCGUAAUGUUGCAGCUCAAAGCAGCUUUUCUAGCUCAGUUCAUUCUGACAUUCAGCUAUGAAUCAACACAGCAGAUGGUGAUCCAUGCUGUGGAAGUCUCACAUCUUCUGAUUUAAUGGAGCUGCUUUGCACUUUUUACACUGUUUAUUCACCAACACUUUAUUUAAUAAAAGUCCCAUCUAGUUUUUAUGAGGAAUGUGAGGUUUUAAUUUCUCUGUGAAUAACUGCAGUCUAAUGCAACAGCUGGAGUUGUAACAUCUGUCCUGAUAUUGAUAAUGAAGUAUUGAUCAGAAUACUUAUGGUCAGCAGUCAUCCCUGAAGUUUUACAUUAAAAGCUUUACUUGUGUUGUGAACUUUGGUAAGAAGCAGAAACUUUAGCGUUGCCAUGGAUACAUGAGUGUUAAAUUCUGUCCAUGUUUCCAUUGUGGGAAAUUCAGUCCAGCAGAUGAGUUUGUUUUUACUGCCAGCUACCAUUCAGUCUGAGAUAUUAAGAAUAAAUAGAUGUGCAUAAUGUGGAAAUGAACACAUUUUAUUUUCAUUUAUUCCUACAGCUGCUACACGGAAAGUUCCAGAAUGUGGAGGAAUUUAGUCUCACAAUCAGACAAUAAAUAUUAUCUGAAAGUCAGGUUAUUGUUGUUUAUCAGCGCAAUACAAAAAUAUUCAUGUUAGAAAUAUUCCAGUUAAGAUGCUAGACAAUCAUGAUUUAUGUAAAUUUACCUCAGUAUGAAUGUUCAGGUUAAGAAUGUGCUGUGAUAUUUAUUAUCAUUAGUUUAGCUGAUUAAAGUUUAUGACUCUGCACUACAUUAUUUAUUUAAAUUUACAUCAUUAUUAGAAUAUUUAGGGUCAGACCUUACAGUAUUGAGAUUAAGAAAUCAAAUAUUCUAUAAAAUGUAAAUACACUGAACUCAUUUGGAUAUAUUUAAGUGAGACUCUACAAUAUUAUUUGACACAAAUUUGUAAAUCAAAAUUUUAAUCAUUUUUACUCCAAACAUUUACUGGACUGAUUUAAAUAUUAAAAUCACUCCUUUCUAAUCCUCUGCUGUACGUUCAAACCUGAGGCCUGAAAUAGAAACACACAAGUAUCUGAUUGAAGGAACUUCUGCAGAGUCCUGGUUCCAGAACAUGAUGAUAGAAUUAUAGACAAACUUUAACAAAAGCUGCCUGAGAGUUUACAGGUUUUUAUGUUAGAUUUCUUCACUAAUUUCAUGAGUUAUCAGCAAAAAUCAAAUGUUCAUUUGAUGAACUUUAUUUCUAAAACAUCCAGAAUUGGAGCUCAUAUCUUUGGCAGCUGUAAAGUUUCUGCUCCUUCAAAGUUCACAACACAAUGAAUUAAUUCCUAAAACACUCUCAAUGCUGGAGAGCGUUUGUGAUGCUGAAGCAGUGACCAGUUUUUCUGUUUCUUCUCUGGAGAUGCACAAUGAGGGAUGUCUGCAGCGACUGAGAAAGAGUCUCACCACAUCCUGACAUGAGGAAAAAGACUUUAUUGAAGACUAGAAUGAGAAAAACUAUCCAGACAGCAGACGGCUGCAUUCAAGUCUGUAGCUGCUGAAUUCAUGGAUGAAUCAUCUGGCACUAGAGAGGAAGACCAUCAAACAUCCAUGUCAGCUGAUGGAGGUCCAAGAGUCUCACCCAACAAACAACCUACAGAGUGAAGACCUCGAAUCUGAUUGGACGGCCUCCUAUUCACCCACGUGUGAACAAAUGCCUCUAAGUUGAUUUGUUUUCUAAAAUAAAUCUAGUUUGAGUCCUAA